This 690-nucleotide ribosomal RNA is filed under the name uncultured Acidobacteriota bacterium. RNAcentral's name for it is "bacterial SSU rRNA". It matches the Rfam family "Bacterial small subunit ribosomal RNA", at positions 15 to 735 of the family's 1533-position model. The record is from RNAcentral. Lineage: Bacteria; Pseudomonadati; Acidobacteriota.
GAUCCUGGCUCAGAAUCAACGCUGGCGGCGUGCCUAACACAUGCAGGUCGCACGAGAAAGCGGGCUUCGGCCUGCAAGUACAGUGGCGCACGGGUGAGUAACACGUGAAUCAUCUACCUCCGAGUGGGGAAUAACCUAGGGAAACCUGGGCUAAUACCGCAUAACACUUACGAGUCAAAGCAGCAAUGCGCUUGGAGAGGAGUUCACGGCAGAUUAGCUAGUUGGUGGGGUAAUGGCCCACCAAGGCGAUGAUCUGUAUCCGGCCUGAGAGGGCGCACGGACACACUGGAACUGAAACACGGUCCAGACUCCUACGGGAGGCAGCAGUGGGGAAUUUUGCGCAAUGGGGGAAACCCUGACGCAGCAACGCCGCGUGGAGGAUGAAAUCCCUUGGGAUGUAAACUCCUUUCGAUCAGGACGAUUAUGACGGUACCGGAAGAAGAAGCCCCGGCUAACUUCGUGCCAGCAGCCGCGGUAAUACGAGGGGGGCAAGCGUUGUUCGGAAUUAUUGGGCGUAAAGGGCGCGUAGGCGGUUUGACAAGUCUGAUGUGAAAUCUCUGGGCUCAACCCAGAGUCUGCAUUAGAAACUGUCGGGCUUGAGUAUGGGAGAGGUGAGUGGAAUUUCCGGUGUAGCGGUGAAAUGCGUAGAUAUCGGAAGGAACACCUGUGGCGAAAGCGGCUCACUGGACC